AGAGUUUGAUCUUGGCUCAGGACGAACGCUGGCGGCGUGCUUAACAUAUGCAAGUCGAACGGAGUGUAGCAAUAUAUUUAGUGGUGGACGGGUGAGUAACACGUGAGCAACUUGCCCUAUACAACGGGAUAACACAGAGAAAUUUGUGCUAAUACCGUAUAAGACCACACUAAGGCAUCUUAGAGGGGUCAAAGCGAAUGCGGUAUAGGAGGGGCUCGCGGCCCAUUAGCUAGUUGGUGAGGUAACGGCCCACCAAGGCGACGAUGGGUAGCCGACCUGAGAGGGUGAACGGCCACAUUGGAACUGAGAAACGGUCCAAACUCCUACGGGAGGCAGCAGUGGGGAAUAUUGGGCAAUGGAGGAAACUCUGACCCAGCAACGCCGCGUGAAUGAAGAAGGCCUUCGGGUUGUAAAGUUCUUUAGUGAGGGACGAACAAAUGACGGUACCUCGAGAAUAAGCCAUGACUAACUACGUGCCAGCAGUUGUGGUAAUACGUAGGUGGCAAGCGUUGUCCGGAAUGACUGGGCGUAAAGGGAGUGUAGGCGGUGCAACAAGUUAGGAGUGAAAUCCCGUGGCUUAACCACGGAACUGCUUUUAAAACUGUUGUGCUUGAGUGAUGGAGAGGAAAGCGGAAUUCCUAGUGUAGCGGUGGAAUGCGUAGAUAUUAGGAGGAACACCAGAGGCGAAGGCGGCUUUCUGGACAUUAACUGACGCUGAGGCUCGAAAGCGUGGGGAGCAAACAGGAUUAGAUACCCUGGUAGUCCACGCUGUAAACGAUGGAUACUAGAUGCGGGGAGUAUCGACUCUUUCCGUGUCGUCGCAAACGCAAUAAGUAUCCCGCCUGGGGAGUACGGCCA
Molecule: ribosomal RNA, 858 nt
Filed under: bacterium enrichment culture clone B10
Lineage: Bacteria
Description: bacterial SSU rRNA
Rfam family: Bacterial small subunit ribosomal RNA
Source: RNAcentral